UACUUCACAACUCUAAUGGAACCCAGCAACUCACUAGGAAACUACCUCUUUGACCUUUAUGCUUGGCAACUGAACAGGUGCUUGGCAAGGAUGUUAAUGUAUUAGGUGUUAAUUUUGAGUCCUGCAUUUUCUUUGACCUUUAUGUUUCAUUAUUUUUGGAUGAUUGUUAUACUAAGUUGUUCAUAUAUGACAUCUUUAAGUGUUGUUCAUAUAUGACAUCUUUAAGUGUUGUUCAUAUAUGACAUCUUUAAGUGGCUAUGUUACCCCUGAUAGUCACUUAUUCAUAAGAGGGGGAAAUAGUAAACAAGUUAUCAAAGAAAAGUUGAAGAAUUACACCUUUGUUGAGUGGUAUUUUUCAUUAAUUGUAUUAUGAUACUUCUAUUAUAACAAACUGUACUUGCUUGAUCUAUCUGCACAUGACAACAAUUUGUUUAAUUAGGGA
Molecule: long non-coding RNA, 442 nt
Filed under: Manihot esculenta (cassava)
Lineage: Eukaryota; Viridiplantae; Streptophyta; Magnoliopsida; Malpighiales; Euphorbiaceae
Description: long non-coding RNA (MESC_LNC009039)
Source: RNAcentral